GCCGUUUUCAAUGAUGGAGUUUCCGAAUUGACGAUCGGCUCCGUUAAACUUGAUCUAGAGUAUUUGAAGCUUCUAGAAAAUAAUUUUUGUAAUUUUUCGAUAUCAUUUACCUAGCAAAUGAAAGGAUUUAAAAUCAAUAAUUUUUAACGGCAGAAAAUAAAAAUCCUAUAAAAAGUGGUGAUAUAGCACUAAAAUUUUCGAUCAGAAUAUUGAUCUUGUUGUAGAUAGUAUAAAGAAUUUUGCAUCAAAAUAUCAUCUGAUUUGAAUACUUCUGCAUCGUUAAACUUGAAAACAGCAGAUAUCAACCAUUAAAAAUUAUGGAUUUUGAAUCCUUUCAAUCACUAGGUAAAUAAUAUUGAAAAAUCGCAAAAACUAUUUUCUAGAAACUUCAAAUGACCUAGAUCAAGUCUAAUGGAGCCGAUCGUCGAUUCGAAAAUUCCAUCAUUGAAAACGGCUCAGGAGCACGGAGGCCUCCGUGCUCCUAAGAGCACAGCAGCCCUGCUCUCUCUCUCUCUCU
This 517-nucleotide long non-coding RNA is filed under the name Ananas comosus (pineapple). Its description in RNAcentral is "long non-coding RNA (ACOM_LNC044197)". The record is from RNAcentral. Lineage: Eukaryota; Viridiplantae; Streptophyta; Magnoliopsida; Poales; Bromeliaceae.